UACGUAGGGGGCAAGCGUUGUCCGGAAUCAUUGGGCGUAAAGAGCGUGUAGGCGGCUCGAUAAGUCUGCUGUGAAAGUCCAGGGCUCAACCCUGGAAGGCCGGUGGAAACUGUCGGGCUAGAGUCCGAAAGAGGCGAGUGGAAUUCCCGGUGUAGCGGUGAAAUGCGUAGAUAUCGAGAGGAACACCGGCGGCGAAGGCGGCCACCUGGACGAGGACUGACGCUGAGAUGCGAAAGCGUGGGGAGCAAACAGG
RNAcentral lists this ribosomal RNA (253 nucleotides) under uncultured bacterium. RNAcentral describes it as "partial 16S ribosomal RNA". It matches the Rfam family "Bacterial small subunit ribosomal RNA", at positions 524 to 776 of the family's 1533-position model. The record is from RNAcentral.